Molecule: ribosomal RNA, 741 nt
Filed under: Escherichia sp. E2748
Lineage: Bacteria; Pseudomonadati; Pseudomonadota; Gammaproteobacteria; Enterobacterales; Enterobacteriaceae
Description: partial 23S ribosomal RNA
Rfam family: Bacterial large subunit ribosomal RNA
Source: RNAcentral
GUUUCGGCAAGGGGGAUCAUCCCGACUUACCAACCCGAUGCAAACUGCGAAUACCGGAGAAUGUUAUCACGGGAGACACACGGCGGGUGCUAACGUCCGUCGUGAAGAGGGAAACAACCCAGACCGCCAGCUAAGGUCCCAAAGUCAUGGUUAAGUGGGAAACGAUGUGGGAAGGCCCAGACAGCCAGGAUGUUGGCUUAGAAGCAGCCAUCAUUUAAAGAAAGCGUAAUAGCUCACUGGUCGAGUCGGCCUGCGCGGAAGAUGUAACGGGGCUAAACCAUGCACCGAAGCUGCGGCAGCGACACUAUGUGUUGUUGGGUAGGGGAGCGUUCUGUAAGCCUGUGAAGGUGUACUGUGAGGUAUGCUGGAGGUAUCAGAAGUGCGAAUGCUGACAUAAGUAACGAUAAAGCGGGUGAAAAGCCCGCUCGCCGGAAGACCAAGGGUUCCUGUCCAACGUUAAUCGGGGCAGGGUGAGUCGACCCCUAGGCGAGGCCGAAAGGCGUAGUCGAUGGGAAACAGGUUAAUAUUCCUGUACUUGGUGUUACUGCGAAGGGGGGACGGAGAAGGCUAUGUUGGCCGGGCGACGGUUGUCCCGGUUUAAGCGUGUAGGCUGGUUUUCCAGGCAAAUCCGGAAAAUCAAGGCUGAGGCGUGAUGACGAGGCACUACGGUGCUGAAGCAACAAAUGCCCUGCUUCCAGGAAAAGCCUCUAAGCAUCAGGUAACAUCAAAUCGUACCCCAAA